UACGUAGGGUGCAAGCGUUGUCCGGAUUUAUUGGGCGUAAAGAGCGUGUAGGCGGCCAGGUAGGUCCGGUGUGAAAACUCGAGGCUCAACCUCGAGACGUCGAUGGAAACCAUCUAGCUAGAGUCCGGAAGAGGAGAGUGGAAUUCCUGGUGUAGCGGUGAAAUGCGCAGAUAUCAGGAAGAACACCCGUGGCGAAGGCGGCUCUCUGGUACGUGACUGACGCUGAGACGCGAAAGCGUGGGGAGCGAACAGG
This 253-nucleotide ribosomal RNA is filed under the name uncultured bacterium. RNAcentral describes it as "partial 16S ribosomal RNA". It matches the Rfam family "Bacterial small subunit ribosomal RNA", at positions 524 to 776 of the family's 1533-position model. The record is from RNAcentral.